AUUACCUAAGAAAAGUGGAGAUGGCUUCCCUGGUCUUGACUUGAAUUCAGGAUGGAACUGUACUCCAAUGAAAAAUUUAUGACUGGGUAGUUCAAUAAUCUCCAUGCGUCUUCCACUCUCAUCCUUGCCAACAAAUGAAAGUCCGGCCUUCUCAAACUCUGGUACCAUUUCAGGAUUUACCUGAAAAACAGUGAAGUCUUCACUCAAAGAAGUCCAGGAUUAUUAUCUUACAGCUUUGCAGAUUUGCAUGCAGUGGCAUGGAAAUAUGUUCUCCUUGAUCCAAGCCGCAUAGUUGCCCCCAUAUGGGUUUUGGAACCCUCUGGCAUGAAAAUGACGCAGGGUGACAUUGUAUCUGGGUCAAACUCUGUGCUAUUUGCACCCGGUAAUUUCAUGAUAGAACAGGCAAAAUCAAUCACUGCAAUUUGCAUACCCAAGCAAAUGCCGAGAUAAGGAACAUUAUUUUCUCGUGCAUAUUUUGCAGCAAGAAUUUUUCCCUGAACACCUCUAUCUCCAAAGCCUCCAGGGACAAGUAUACCCUCUGCACCCUGAAAUGUAAAUUUUCUUCAAAUGGCUGAGCAUAACUUAUCAAAAAUUCAAGGGGCCAUUCGAGUAUAAUCUUCAAGAUCACAGGAAGGAACCCACUCCACUACAAGCUUUCUUCCCAUAGCAACCGAUGCAUGCAAAAGUGCCUGAAAUAAGGACAGGUAGGAAUCGGACAGCCCAGUAUAUUUUCCAACCAUCGCAAUCUUAACCUGGAACAUUGCACAGCAUUGAACUGAUGAAUGAACUUAUUACAUAACCAUGGAAAAUACAUACAAUUGAAGGUCUAGAACUUUCAGAAUAGCUUCAUGGGCCCUUUGAUGUAGAUCAACCAAGAAAAGAAAAAAAAAAAGAAAAGGUCAACUAACUGAAAAUCUCACAACCACCAUCCUUAACAGGAAACAGGAAGUAUGUUUUUUAAUAUAAUUAAAAACGUGUCAUGAACCCUAAUAAACUGCAAAUAUUAUAACCUCUCAUAUGUUUGAUAUGUCUCGUUGUUUCAGAUAAGCAGAACUUACCUGUUCACCAACUACAUUUAAAACUGGAACAAGACUGACAUGGACCAGACAGAAGUUUCCAGGUCCUACAACAUAGAAUGACGUAGGAAAAAUUAGAUAGAAUUGUUUUUUUCUUUACCUAUGGUGCCACCAAGUUCUAUGACACAAACAUCAGGAGGUCCUUCUUUACCAUCGACCGGAUUCAUCGCUACACGUUCAAUCCAAUCUUGAAUUUCAUCUGUAAUAUGUGGCACAACCUGAAAAGGAAAAUAUGGACAAAUUAAGGCUAUCAGAUUCAGUUACCUGAUAUAUUUUUCCCGUGGUUAUGUUGUUAUCACGGGUCAAUUUGAUGUCCAGAAAACGUUCGUAAUUUCCAAGGUCCAAUUACCUCUCCACCAUCGUCCAAAACGAAGACCUCACCAUGCUCGAACGGAGACAUGGUUCCAGCAUCAGUGUUGAGGUAUGGGUCUGCAGAUGGGUAGCCAUAAAUGAGAAUAGCCCGCAGGCCUUGAGCACGACGCCGAUGCUGCUCGCGGUCACGCCCUUGCCGAGGCCGCUCACCACCCCUCCUGUCACCAGCACGUACUUCAU
This 1628-nucleotide small RNA is filed under the name Oryza sativa Japonica Group (Japanese rice). RNAcentral describes it as "sRNA Os01g0654150". The record is from RNAcentral. Lineage: Eukaryota; Viridiplantae; Streptophyta; Magnoliopsida; Poales; Poaceae.